RNAcentral lists this ribosomal RNA (950 nucleotides) under uncultured archaeon. RNAcentral's name for it is "bacterial SSU rRNA". It matches the Rfam family "Archaeal small subunit ribosomal RNA", at positions 1 to 940 of the family's 1478-position model. The record is from RNAcentral.
UUCCGGUUGAUCCUGCCGGACCCGACUGCUAUUUGGGUGAGGAUAAGCCAUGCGAGUUGAAUGGGAAACCUAAAGUUCCCAUGGCAAACUGCUCAGUAACACAUGAUCAACUUACCCUAUAGAGAAAAAUAACCUCGGGAAACUGAGGAUAAUGUUUCAUAGUUGAAUUGGCUUGGAAAAGUUUUUCGACAAAAGGGGUAAAAAAAAUGGUUUUUAUCUGCUAUAGGAUAGGAUCGUGUUCGAUUAUGGUUGUUGGUGAGGUAAUGGCUCACCAAGCCGAUAAUCGAUAGGGGCCGUGAGAGCGGGAGCCCCGAGAUGGGUACUGAGACAACGACCCAGGCCUUACGAGGCGCAGCAGGCGCGAAACCUCCGCAAUACACGAAAGUGUGACGGGGUUACCCAAAGUGUUCAAUUUUGAACUGUGGUAGGUGAGUAAUGUUCCCUACUAGAAAGGAGAGGGCAAGGCUGGUGCCAGCCGCCGCGGUAAAACCAGCUCUUCAAGUGGUCGGGAUAAUUAUUGGGCUUAAAGUGUCCGUAGCCGGUUUAGUAAGUUCCUGGUAAAAUCGGGUAGCUUAACUAUCUAUAUGCUAGGAAUACUACUAUACUAGAGGGCGGGAGAGGUCUGAGGUACUGCAGGGGUAGGGGUGAAAUCUUAUAAUCCUUGUUGGACCACCAGUGGCGAAGGCGUCAGACUGGAACGCGCCUGACGGUGAGGGACGAAAGCCAGGGGAGCGAACCGGAUUAGAUACCCGGGUAGUCCUGGCCGUAAACGAUGCAUACUAUGUGAUGGCACGGCCAUGAGCCGUGUCAGUGCCGUAGGGAAACCGUUAAGUGUGCCGCCUGGGAAGUACGGUCGCAAGGCUAAAACUUAAAGGAAUUGGCGGGGGAGCACCACAAGGGUGAAGCCUGCGGUUCAAUUGGAUUCAACGCCGGGAAUCACUAGUGCGGCC